This 448-nucleotide ribosomal RNA is filed under the name uncultured eukaryote. RNAcentral describes it as "partial small subunit ribosomal RNA". It matches the Rfam family "Eukaryotic small subunit ribosomal RNA", at positions 587 to 971 of the family's 1831-position model. The record is from RNAcentral.
AGCUCUUAGUGUGAAUUUGGAUGUUGCUGCAGUUAAAAAGCUCAUAGCCAAUUUUACAGGCAUGAAGUCUUUGUAUACUUGAUCAUGCAAAUGAGAGAGUUGCAGAGUUCUUAAAGCAAGAAAAAACUUUAGAGACCCUAGGUUGGUGUAAAAGCUGGCUUAGGACUGGGGGUCUUUACGCAGAUCUCUGGUUUUCUGAAGUGAUAUAACUUUGAAUAAAUUAGAGUGUUCAAAACAAGCUUUUUAGCUUUGAAUAUAUUAGCAUGGUAUUAUAGAAUAUGACGAAUUCAGGUCAUAUAAAGUUCUGGGGGCCGCAAGGCCUCAAAGAAUCUGGAUUUGUAAUGAAAGAAAAAAAUAGAAUGAGUGACCUGUACUCUUAGGGGAAAGGUGAAAUUUUAUGAUCCUGAGAUGACAAACUGAUGCGAAAGCUCUCCACUGAGAUGUUUGU